RNAcentral lists this ribosomal RNA (699 nucleotides) under Rhizopogon sp. RNAcentral describes it as "LSU rRNA". It matches the Rfam family "Eukaryotic large subunit ribosomal RNA", at positions 86 to 751 of the family's 3401-position model. Lineage: Eukaryota; Fungi; Basidiomycota; Agaricomycetes; Boletales; Rhizopogonaceae. The record is from RNAcentral.
ACUGCGAGUGAACCGGGAAGAGCUCAAAUUUUGAAUCUGACAGUCCUUGAGGCUGUCCGAGUUGUAAUCUAGAGAAGUGUUUUCCGCGCUGGACCGUGUAUAAGUUUCCUGGAAAGGAACGUCAUAGAGGGUGAAAAUCCCGUCUUUGACACGGACACCCAGGGCUAUGUGAUGCACUCUCGACGAGUCGAGUUGUUUGGGAAUGCAGCUCAAAUAGGGUGGUAAAUUCCAUCUAAAGCUAAAUACAGGCGAGAGACCGAUAGCGAACAAGUACCGUGAGGGAAAGAUGAAAAGAACUUUGGAAAGAGAGUUAAACAGUACGUGAAAUUGCUGAAAGGGAAACGCUUGAUGUCAGUCGCGUUGGCUGGGGAUCAGCCUUGCUUAAUUGCGGGGUGCACUUCCUGGUUGACGGGUCAGCAUCAGUUUUGACUGUCGGAAAAGGGCAAGAGGAAUGUGGCACUCUUUCGGGGGUGUGUUAUAGACUCUCGUCUUGAAUACGGUGGUUGGGACUGAGGAACCGCAGCACGGCCUUUAUGGUUCUCGGGGCUUUGGCUCACGAUCGCGUGCUUAGGAUGCUGGCAUAAUGGCCUUAAGCGACCCGUCUUGAAACACGGACCAAGGAGUCUAACAUGCAUGCGAGUGUUUGGGCGAUAAAAACCCGAGCGCGUAAUGAAAGUGAAAGUUGAGAUCUCUGUCGUG